UCGGGAAUUUUGGGCAAUGGGCGAAAGCCUGACCCAGCAACGCCGCGUGAAGGAUGAAGUUUCUCGGAAUGUAAACUUCACAAGAACGGGAAGAAUAAGGAUGGGCUAAUACCCCUUCCGAUGACGGUACCGUUUGUAAGCUCCGGCUAACUCCGUGCCAGCAGCCGCGGUAAGACGAACCGUGCAAACGUUGUUCGGAAUCACUGGGCUUAAAGGGCGCGUAGGCGGGUCGGCCCGUCUGAGGGGGAA
RNAcentral lists this ribosomal RNA (249 nucleotides) under uncultured organism. RNAcentral describes it as "partial 16S ribosomal RNA". It matches the Rfam family "Bacterial small subunit ribosomal RNA", at positions 355 to 599 of the family's 1533-position model. The record is from RNAcentral.